This 392-nucleotide ribosomal RNA is filed under the name Tiarina fusus. RNAcentral's name for it is "Tiarina fusa partial Eukaryotic large subunit ribosomal RNA". It matches the Rfam family "Eukaryotic large subunit ribosomal RNA", at positions 329 to 669 of the family's 3401-position model. The record is from RNAcentral. Lineage: Eukaryota; Ciliophora; Prostomatea; Prorodontida; Colepidae.
GGAGACCGAUAGCGAACAAGUACCGUGAGGGAAAGAUGAAAAGAACUUUGGAAAGAGGGUGAAAUAGUGCUUGAAACCGCUGGGAGGAAAGCGAAUGGAGCUACUGCAGGUCCGAGAAUCUCAAACCGGCAUUCUGGUUGGUUCUGGUGUAGAGAUCUCGGUGCCGCGCUCGUGGUGUCUUCUUAUUCUGACGAAAGAGGGUAGUUUGUUAAGUUGAAAGUCAUUCUUCCCUUUUGGGAAGAAUGAAUUUCAUUGCUUUGCUAUUUUUUCCAAUGGUCAAAGAACAGAAGUCACGAUUCAAAGGGAGAUAGAAAGGACGUGCGUUUUCGCGUCCUCUGUCUCCAAGAACGGGCGGAGGGGCUUUAUUCGACCCGUCUUGUAACACGGACCAA